GAUUGCUUGAAGUGUUUGACGCUUUUCUAUCUACUCUACAGAACCGUAUGUGAAUGGAACCUUGGUUUCUCAUAAUGCCAACUAUGUGGAGGGAAGAGUUUAGCUACUUGCAGUUGUUCGGAUCCGUACCUAUAAAGUAGUCUGCAAAGACUGCUUGAACCCAUGGUCUCAAAUCAGGUAGGAAGACCCGCUGAACUUAA
RNAcentral lists this unclassified non-coding RNA (200 nucleotides) under soil metagenome. RNAcentral's name for it is "partial contains internal transcribed spacer 2 and large subunit ribosomal RNA". The record is from RNAcentral.